ACGCACGCUGGCGGCGUGCUUCACCCCUGCCAGUCGCACGGUAAGGCCCCUUCGGGGGUACACGAGUGGCGAACGGGUGAGUAACACGUGAGCAACCUGCCCUUGACUCUGGAAUAACAGUUGGAAACAGCUGCUAAUACUGGAUAUUCAUCGUCUCCUUCCUGGGGGGUGGUGGAAAGCUCCGGCGGUCAGGGAUGGGCUCGCGGCCUAUCAGCUUGUUGGUGAGGUAAUGGCUCACCAAGGCUUCGACGGGUAGCCGGCCUGAGAGGGCGACCGGCCACACUGGGACUGAGAUACGGCCCAGACUCCUACGGGAGGCAGCAGUGGGGAAUAUUGCACAAUGGGCGCAAGCCUGAUGCAGCAACGCCGCGUGCGGGAUGACGGCCUUCGGGUUGUAAACCGCUUUCAGUAGGGACGAAGGGUGACUGACGGUACCUACAGAAGAAGGACCGGCUAACUACGUG
This 464-nucleotide ribosomal RNA is filed under the name uncultured bacterium. RNAcentral describes it as "partial 16S ribosomal RNA". It matches the Rfam family "Bacterial small subunit ribosomal RNA", at positions 29 to 507 of the family's 1533-position model. The record is from RNAcentral.